This 86-nucleotide transfer RNA is filed under the name Deltaproteobacteria bacterium. RNAcentral's name for it is "tRNA-Leu". It matches the Rfam family "tRNA". Rfam says of the family: Transfer RNA (tRNA) molecules are approximately 80 nucleotides in length. Their secondary structure includes four short double-helical elements and three loops (D, anti-codon, and T loops). Lineage: Bacteria; Pseudomonadati; Myxococcota; Myxococcia. The record is from RNAcentral.
GCCGAAGUGGUGGAAAUGGUAGACACACCAUCUUGAGGGGGUGGCGGGCCAAACCCGUGCGGGUUCAAAUCCCGCCUUCGGCACCA